This is a non-coding RNA of Schizosaccharomyces pombe (fission yeast), 253 nucleotides long. Lineage: Eukaryota; Fungi; Ascomycota; Schizosaccharomycetes; Schizosaccharomycetales; Schizosaccharomycetaceae. The record is from the annotation of a GenBank genome assembly.
GUGUAGAUUUUGAUGGCUUGUUAUCUCUGAUUUGCUUUCAGAAGCAGUGGAGUUGUACGACGAUGAUCGAACUGACGAUGGCCCCGCGGACACAUUAGCCAUUGCUCCUGGGGGUAACGGGUCUCCAAUACUCUGGCGUGUAUCUGGUAACUUCGAAGGAGCAGAUGGCCUAACAUAUGGAGGUGGUCCAACGUUUACUGCAGGACGUUGAGUGACUGAGAUACUAGGAGACGGUGAUGUUAUGUUAGGGUGC